UNCCUUCCCUUAUGAGCACUAGAUGGACAC
RNAcentral lists this non-coding RNA (30 nucleotides) under Rattus norvegicus (Norway rat). Lineage: Eukaryota; Metazoa; Chordata; Mammalia; Rodentia; Muridae. The record is from RNAcentral.